GCACUUACCUGGACGGGGUCAACAGCCGAUCAAGAAGAGCUGUGGCCUAGAUCAAUGGCUCACAUUGCACCUUGUUGAGUGUGUUGGCCUACCAUCUCCCUACGGGGAGAGUGGACGUCAUAAUUUGUGCUAGAGGGGGUACGCGUUCGCGCGGCCCCUG
This 160-nucleotide small nuclear RNA is filed under the name Triticum aestivum (bread wheat). Its description in RNAcentral is "U1 spliceosomal RNA". It matches the Rfam family "U1 spliceosomal RNA". From Rfam's summary of the family: U1 is a small nuclear RNA (snRNA) component of the spliceosome (involved in pre-mRNA splicing). Lineage: Eukaryota; Viridiplantae; Streptophyta; Magnoliopsida; Poales; Poaceae. The record is from Rfam by way of RNAcentral. RNAcentral also lists the same sequence under 1 other name.